AAGACUGCUGAUACUACUGGAAGACAAAAUCUCUUGCCAAAGAAUGUCUGGAGCUGCAUGGAGCCACAGGAUCUAAUACCUUAGAUCCGAUACUGUGAUUAAGCUAGCUGUUUCUGAGUCAUAGAUGUCACUUAUUAAAGAGAACGUGCUGUUCCAGUCAUACAUGACCUUUAGGAGAAUCUAAGCAGUUGGACAUUUUCUAUUGUACAUAGAUUUAUUUAAGUUCCUACGCGAGACUACUAGCUUUCUCUGCUUAAAGUGUCGUUUGAAGUGUGAUGUCAAGAACUUGGAGAUCACAUCAUGAAAUUGACGGGCCAGUCAAAAAGACAUACAUGUAGCAGUUGCUGCUGAAAGAUAGAAUCAAUCAAAGAUUUGAUCUUACUUAUCUGUUGUCAGUAGGGCAGAAUGAGAACUGUGACAUUACAGUAGGAGGUUGCUGGUAUGUGGUGUUUGAACCAGAAAAUGAUACUUGUCUUCCUCCUGCUUGUACUGGACCCUCUCCUCUCUAUACAACCAGCCGCUCCCUUUACUAUAGUUUGUUGUAUUUUAUCAAAAUUUUAAUUUUAAUUUAGCAAAAUUAGUCAUUUUUAUUGUCACAUUAUAUUUGCAUACGUUUUGCAAUGCUUCUUCAUUGUAAACUGCUAAGCUGCUACAUUAAUCUUUGCAGUCACCUAU
Long non-coding RNA from Amphimedon queenslandica, 675 nucleotides. RefSeq lists it as uncharacterized. Lineage: Eukaryota; Metazoa; Porifera; Demospongiae; Haplosclerida; Niphatidae. The transcript has 4 exons. The record is from RefSeq and is a predicted model, not a curated record.